AUUCCAGCUCCAAUAGCGUAUAUUAAAGUUGUUGCAGUUAAAAAGCUCGUAGUUGGAUUUGUGGUGUAUGCCGGCGGCCUGGUACUUAGUAUCGGAGCUUGCUUGCGUCGCCAUCCUUGGGUGGAUCCUGUGUGGCAUUAAGUUGUCGUGCAGGGGAUGCCCAUCGUUUACUGUGAAAAAAUUAGAGUGUUCAAAGCAGGCUUAUGCCGUUGAAUAUAUUAGCAUGGAAUAAUAAGAUAGGACCUUGGUACUAUUUUGUUGGUUUGCGCACCAAGGUAAUGAUUAAUAGGGACAGUUGGGGGUAUUCGUAUUUCAUUGUCAGAGGUGAAAUUCUUGGAUUUUUGAAAGACGAACUACUGCGAAAGCAUUUACCAAGGAUGUUUUCAUUG
This 389-nucleotide ribosomal RNA is filed under the name Cylindrotheca sp. RNAcentral's name for it is "partial small subunit ribosomal RNA". It matches the Rfam family "Eukaryotic small subunit ribosomal RNA", at positions 582 to 975 of the family's 1831-position model. The record is from RNAcentral. Lineage: Eukaryota; Bacillariophyta; Bacillariophyceae; Bacillariales; Bacillariaceae.